GUGACCUUCCCUUCCCUGUGCCUGAUUGGCCUCCGCUUGUGCCUCUCCUCCAAAAGCCUGCUGUCAGUUCUCUGCACUGCCCUGGGUUUGGUAGCAUCAAUGGCGUUGAGGACUGCUUCAAUGAAUAUGAGGACCAAGCUAUUGCCCAUGUUCUCUGCAACUUCUUUGUUGCAUUCACACGCCACCAGCUUUGGUGGCAUGGAACUGACAAAGGAGGAAAAUUUCAGACUUGAAGGACCAAUUCCACCACCACGGCACCCAAACUGAAAGCAAACUCCUUUUGCCGUUUCUAGAAAAGCUGGCAAGCAAAAAAAUGGUUAAUUUCCUAUCUUCAAACUGAUUUACAAAUUUCCUUUCACAAGAAAAAAAUGGAGAAAAUUAACACAAGGAGAAGAUCAGUUGACAUGUGGCGGUUUUCGAAGCUCUUGCGGAUCUGACUUCAAGCCUGUUGUUGAAGGCUAUGCCGUUAAAGGGUUAGGUUUUGUUUUUUUGGUUAUUGGAUUUACACAUUCAAUGGUGAGAAUCAACAUAUACAAAUUCAAUGAUUUACUAGACUGGAAAAUCAUUAACAACAUUUUUAUGUUAAACCCCUUUCCUCUUUUA
Molecule: long non-coding RNA, 603 nt
Organism: Vitis riparia (riverbank grape)
Lineage: Eukaryota; Viridiplantae; Streptophyta; Magnoliopsida; Vitales; Vitaceae
Exons: 3
Source: RefSeq, a predicted model, not a curated record